AGUGAACGCUGGCGGUAGGCCUAACACAUGCAAGUCGAACGGCAGCACAGUAAGAGCUUGCUCUUACGGGUGGCGAGUGGCGGACGGGUGAGGAAUACAUCGGAAUCUACUUUUUCGUGGGGGAUAACGUAGGGAAACUUGCGCUAAUACCGCAUACGACCUACGGGUGAAAGCAGGGGAUCUUCGGACCUUGCGCGAUUGAAUGAGCCGAUGUCGGAUUAGCUAGUUGGCGGGGUAAAGGCCCACCAAGGCGACGAUCCGUAGCUGGUCUGAGAGGAUGAUCAGCCACACUGGAACUGAGACACGGUCCAGGCUCCUACGGGAGGCAGCAGUGGGGAAUAUUGGACAAUGGGCGCAAGCCUGAUCCAGCCAUACCGCGUGGGUGAAGAAGGCCUUCGGGUUGUAAAGCCCUUUUGUUGGGAAAGAAAAGCAGCAGGUUAAUACCCCGCUGUUCUGACGGUACCCAAAGAAUAAGCACCGGCUAACUUCGUG
This 492-nucleotide ribosomal RNA is filed under the name uncultured bacterium. RNAcentral describes it as "partial 16S ribosomal RNA". It matches the Rfam family "Bacterial small subunit ribosomal RNA", at positions 29 to 507 of the family's 1533-position model. The record is from RNAcentral.